This 254-nucleotide ribosomal RNA is filed under the name uncultured bacterium. RNAcentral's name for it is "partial 16S ribosomal RNA". It matches the Rfam family "Bacterial small subunit ribosomal RNA", at positions 524 to 776 of the family's 1533-position model. The record is from RNAcentral.
UACAGAGGGUGCAAGCGUUGUUCGGAAUUAUUGGGCGUAAAGGGCGCGUAGGCGGUCGUGACAAGUCACUUGUGAAAUCUCCGGGCUUAACUCGGAACGGUCAAGUGAUACUGUCGGACUAGAGUACAGAAGGGGCAACUGGAAUUCUCGGUGUAGCGGUGAAAUGCGUAGAUAUCGAGAGGAACACCGAUGGCGAAGGCAGGUCUCUGGGCAUUAACUGACGCUGAGGAGCGAAAGUGUGGGGAGCGAACAGG